This 254-nucleotide ribosomal RNA is filed under the name uncultured bacterium. RNAcentral's name for it is "partial 16S ribosomal RNA". It matches the Rfam family "Bacterial small subunit ribosomal RNA", at positions 524 to 776 of the family's 1533-position model. The record is from RNAcentral.
UACGGGGGGAGCAAGCGUUGUUCGGAUUUACUGGGCGUAAAGGGCGCGUAGGCGGCCAGCACAAGUCAGUUGUGAAAUCUCCGGGCUUAACUCGGAAAGGUCAACUGAUACUGUGCGGCUAGAGUGCAGAAGGGGCAACUGGAAUUCUCGGUGUAGCGGUGAAAUGCGUAGACAUCGAGAGGAACACCUGCGGCGAAGGCGGGUUGCUGGGCUGACACUGACGCUGAUGCGCGAAAGCCAGGGGAGCGAACGGG